Molecule: ribosomal RNA, 207 nt
Filed under: uncultured bacterium
Lineage: Bacteria
Description: partial 16S ribosomal RNA
Rfam family: Bacterial small subunit ribosomal RNA
Source: RNAcentral
CGCGCAGGUGGUUUCUUAAGUCUGAUGUGAAAGCCCACGGCUCAACCGUGGAGGGUCAUUGGAAACUGGGAGACUUGAGUGCAGAAGAGGAUAGUGGAAUUCCAAGUGUAGCGGUGAAAUGCGUAGAGAUUUGGAGGAACACCAGUGGCGAAGGCGACUGUCUGGUCUGUAACUGACACUGAGGCGUGAAAGCGUGGGGAGCAAACA